Molecule: unclassified non-coding RNA, 1361 nt
Filed under: Leishmania donovani
Lineage: Eukaryota; Euglenozoa; Kinetoplastea; Trypanosomatida; Trypanosomatidae
Description: gene:LdHU3.23.2370(CDS-product:Qb-SNARE_protein_p utative)
Source: RNAcentral
CGCAGCCGUAGCAGCCAUGACAACCUUGUUCCAAGCAUACGAGGAGGAGUACCGCGACGGUGUGCGGACCAUUCGCGAUGAGUCGGAGGCGCUGCGCCACUCGUGCGACCGCAAGGCGGUUGGGUACAAGGCACCCCCUGCCACCGGCCCCGGAAGCCGUGUGCAGCGUGGUGCUCACUUGACGACUGUUUUGGCGCAGGUGCGGGAGCUGGUGAACAGCAUGGAGUACGAGGCCAAUGAUCUCCCCGCGGCGCACAGGCAGACAGCUAAGGAGCGCAUUGCCGAGUACCGCACGAACCUGCGCACUUUAGAGGAGGGAAUCGCACACCUCAAGACGGACGCCAGCGCUGCGGAUCGACUCGACCUGCUGGGUGACAUCGAAAGGAGAAAGACAGGUGCAGGUGGCGCCAACGAAGCGAAGGACCCUGGGGCCCUUGAUGACGCGACGAAAGCGCACCGAAUGGCGAUGCUGGACAACACGGCGAAGUUCAAGGACGCCUCUGGCAAGCUACUGCAGGCCGAGCGCCUCUUGAACGACACGGAGACGGUGGGCAACGAGGCCCUCACGAGCCUGCGCUACCAGACAGAGACGAUGCAGCACAUUCAGGAAACGACGAUCGCGGUCGACGAGGAGGUGUCGGAUGCACGCAAGAUUAUUAGCGGCAUGCAGAAGGUGAUGAUUAAGCACAAGCUCAUUCUCACAGCCAUCAUCAUCGUUCUUCUCUCUCUGAUUUUCGUGGCCAUCUAUGUCAGCGUCGCGAAGAAUCAUCGCAACUCGUCGUCCAAAUCGACGGAAGCCACUGGCGAACCCAUCACAUCGGUGGCACCGUCGUCGUUGUGGUUGUCCAGCAAGCUAAAACAGUAGAUGGAUGAAGCUGAGGCCCCGCUGUCAAGACAGGAACUCGAAGAGGGUGGGGAGCAAGGAACCAACGCACGUGGGACAGAGACGGCGCACCUUGUGCAAGUGCGUCUGCGCAAGACGCGAAUCUGUGGCGCUGUCGCACGCCACUGCUCACCGCGUCUCUCGUCGUUCCCCUCCCUACACUCUCUUUCUCAUCUGUGCUCCCUAUUGUGUCCGUGCGUUCGUGCGCUUCAUGACGGGCGCACGUCUGCGCAGGUGCUUACGUAUACAUAUGGGCGCGUGCUGGCGCUGACGAUGCUGUCGCGGAUGCAACCACUCAUGCACGGGUGCUGCAGUCUCGUCCUGAAGCCGCGUGCUUUCUCUCGUGGAAUGGCCACUGCUGCCGUGGGUGUGGUGCCUCUCCUCCCUGCCACUUCUUUCUUUCGUGGCUUCGUAUGUGCCUUUCUCUGUUUGGGCGUGUCUGGGACGUCUUGCUGUUCUUUGCUCUUGUGGCUGUACG